ACAAAACACUGCACUACCCUCACCACAAUGUUAUUGUUUGAUUUCAGAAGCUAAGCAGGGUCAAGUCUGGUUACUACUUGGAUGGGAGGCCAUCAGGGAAUGGCAGGGGUGCUAAGCU
This 118-nucleotide ribosomal RNA is filed under the name Pogona vitticeps (central bearded dragon). Lineage: Eukaryota; Metazoa; Chordata; Lepidosauria; Squamata; Agamidae. The record is from RNAcentral.